UUGCCAGCAGGCCCUUGUGGUGCUGGGGACUCACGGGAGACCGCCGGGGUCAACUCGGAGGAAGGUGGGGACGACGUCUAAGUCAUCAUGCCCCUUAUGUCUUGGGCUGCACACGUUCUACAAUGGCCGGUACAAAUAGCUGCGAUACCGUGAGGUGGAGCGAAUCUCAAAAAGCCGGUCUCAUUUCGGAUUGGGGUCUGCAACUCGACCCCAUGAAUUCGGAGUCGCUAUUAAUCGCAAAUCACCAUUGCUGCGGUGAAUANGUUCCCGGGCCUUGUACACACCGCCCGUCACGUCACGAAUGUCGGUAACACCCGAAUCCGGUGGCCCAACCCCUUGUGGGAGGANCUGUCUAAGGUGGGACUGGCGAUUGGGAUCAAUCGUAACAAGGUAUCCGUACCGGA
This 404-nucleotide ribosomal RNA is filed under the name Streptomyces sp. 1017. RNAcentral describes it as "bacterial SSU rRNA". It matches the Rfam family "Bacterial small subunit ribosomal RNA", at positions 1115 to 1509 of the family's 1533-position model. Lineage: Bacteria; Bacillati; Actinomycetota; Actinomycetes; Kitasatosporales; Streptomycetaceae. The record is from RNAcentral.